Molecule: ribosomal RNA, 449 nt
Filed under: uncultured bacterium
Lineage: Bacteria
Description: partial 16S ribosomal RNA
Rfam family: Bacterial small subunit ribosomal RNA
Source: RNAcentral
AGCCAGACUCCUACGGGAGGCAGCAGUGGGGAAUAUUGCACAAUGGGGGGAACCCUGAUGCAGCGACGCCGCGUGGGUGAAGGAGUACUUCGGUACGUAAAGCCCUAUCAGCAGGAAAGAAAAUGACGGUACCUGACUAAGAAGCCCCGGCUAACUACGUGCCAGCAGCCGCGGUAAUACGUAGGGGGCAAGCGUUAUCCGGAUUUACUGGGUGUAAAGGGGGCGCAGACGGCGAUGCAAGCCAGGAGUGAAAGCCCGGGGCCCAACCCCGGGACUGCUCUUGGAACUGCGUGGCUGGAGUGCAGGAGGGGCAGGCGGAAUUCCUAGUGUAGCGGUGAAAUGCGUAGAUAUUAGGAGGAACACCAGUGGCGAAGGCGGCCCGCUGGACGAUGACUGACGCUGAGGCUCGAAAGCGUGGGGAGCAAACAGGAUUAGAUACCCUUGUAGAU